This 497-nucleotide ribosomal RNA is filed under the name uncultured bacterium. RNAcentral's name for it is "partial 16S ribosomal RNA". It matches the Rfam family "Bacterial small subunit ribosomal RNA", at positions 28 to 507 of the family's 1533-position model. The record is from RNAcentral.
GAUGAACGCUGGCGGCGUGCCUAAUACAUGCAAGUCGAGCGAACAGAUGAGGAGCUUGCUCCUCUGACGUUAGCGGCGGAAGGGUGAGUAACACGUGGAUAACCUACCUAUAAGACUGGGAUAACUUCGGGAAACCGGAGCUAAUACCGGGUAAUAGAUUGAACCGCAUGGUUCAAUAGUGAAAGACGGGUUUGCUGUCACUUAUAGAUGGAUCCGCGCCGCAUUAGCUAGUUGGUAAGGUAACUGCUUAUCAAGGCAACGAUGCGUAGCCGACCUGAGAGGGUGAUGCGCCACACUGGAACUGAGACACGGUCCAGACUCCUACGGGAGGCAGCAGUAGGGAAUCUUCCGCGAUGGGCGAAAGCCUGACGGAGCAACGCCGCGUGAGUGAUGAAGGUCUUCGGAUCGUAAAACUCUGUUAUAGGGAAAGAACAAAUAUGUAAGUAACUAUGCACGUCUUGACGGUACCUAAUCAGAAAGCCACGGCUAACUACGUG